This 497-nucleotide ribosomal RNA is filed under the name uncultured bacterium. RNAcentral describes it as "partial 16S ribosomal RNA". It matches the Rfam family "Bacterial small subunit ribosomal RNA", at positions 29 to 523 of the family's 1533-position model. The record is from RNAcentral.
AUUGAACGCUGGCGGCAUGCCUUACACAUGCAAGUCGAACGGUAACGCGGGGCAACCUGGCGACGAGUGGCGAACGGGUGAGUAAUGAAUCGGAACGUGCCCAGUAGUGGGGGAUAGCACGGCGAAAGCCGGAUUAAUACCGCAUACGACCUACGGGUGAAAGCGGGGGACCGCAAGGCCUCGCGCUAUUGGAGCGGCCGAUGUCAGAUUAGGUUGUUGGUGGGGUAAAGGCCUACCAAGCCGACGAUCUGUAGCUGGUCUGAGAGGACGACCAGCCACACUGGGACUGAGACACGGCCCAGACUCCUACGGGAGGCAGCAGUGGGGAAUUUUGGACAAUGGGCGCAAGCCUGAUCCAGCCAUGCCGCGUGCGGGAAGAAGGCCUUCGGGUUGUAAACCGCUUUUGUCAGGGAAGAAACUCUCUGGGCUAAUACCCCGGGGUAAUGACGGUACCUGAAGAAUAAGCACCGGCUAACUACGUGCAGCCGCCGCCGUAA